AGUGAACGCUGGCGGUAGGCCUAACACAUGCAAGUCGAACGGCAGCACAGUAAGAGCUUGCUCUUACAGGUGGCGAGUGGCGGACGGGUGAGGAAUACAUCGGAAUCUACUUUUUCGUGGGGGAUAACGUAGGGAAACUUACGCUAAUACCGCAUACGACCUACGGGUGAAAGCAGGGGAUCUUCGGACCUUGCGCGAUUGAAUGAGCCGAUGUCGGAUUAGCUAGUUGGCGGGGUAAAGGCCCACCAAGGCGACGAUCCGUAGCUGGUCUGAGAGGAUGAUCAGCCACACUGGAACUGAGACACGGUCCAGACUCCUACGGGAGGCAGCAGUGGGGAAUAUUGGACAAUGGGCGCAAGCCUGAUCCAGCCAUACCGCGUGGGUGAAGAAGGCCUUCGGGUUGUAAAGCCCUUUUGUUGGGAAAGAAAAGCAGCAGGUUAAUACCCCGCUGUUCUGACGGUACCAAAAGAAUAAGCACCGGCUAACUUCGUG
This 492-nucleotide ribosomal RNA is filed under the name uncultured bacterium. RNAcentral's name for it is "partial 16S ribosomal RNA". It matches the Rfam family "Bacterial small subunit ribosomal RNA", at positions 29 to 507 of the family's 1533-position model. The record is from RNAcentral.